RNAcentral lists this ribosomal RNA (253 nucleotides) under uncultured bacterium. RNAcentral describes it as "partial 16S ribosomal RNA". It matches the Rfam family "Bacterial small subunit ribosomal RNA", at positions 524 to 776 of the family's 1533-position model. The record is from RNAcentral.
UACGGAGGGUGCAAGCGUUAUCCGGAUUCACUGGGUUUAAGGGGUGCGUAGGUGGGUUGGUAAGUCAGUGGUGAAAUCCCCGAGCUUAACUUGGGAACUGCCAUUGAUACUAUCAGUCUUGAAUACCGUGGAGGUCAGCGGAAUACGUCAUGUAGCGGUGAAAUGCUUAGAUAUGACAUAGAACACCAAUUGCGAAGGCAGCUGGCUACUCGGAUAUUGACACUGAGGCACGAAAGCGUGGGGAUCAAACAGG